GACGAACGCUGGCGGCGUGCUUAACACAUGCAAGUCGAACGGAAAGGCCCUGCUUUUCUGUGGUGCUCGAGUGGCGAACGGGUGAGUAACACGUGAGUAACCUGCCCUUGACUUUGGGAUAACUUCAGGAAACUGGGGCUAAUACCGGAUAGGAGCUCCUGCUGCAUGGUGUGGGUUGGAAAGUUUCGGCGGUUGGGGAUGGACUCGCGGCUUAUCAGCUUGUUGGUGGGGUAGUGGCUUACCAAGGCUUUGACGGGUAGCCGGCCUGAGAGGGUGACCGGCCACACUGGGACUGAGAUACGGCCCAGACUCCUACGGGAGGCAGCAGUGGGGAAUAUUGCACAAUGGGCGGAAGCCUGAUGCAGCAACGCCGCGUGCGGGAUGACGGCCUUCGGGUUGUAAACCGCUUUCGCCUGUGACGAAGCGUGAGUGACGGUACUGGGUAAAGAAGCACCGGCUAACUACGUG
This 468-nucleotide ribosomal RNA is filed under the name uncultured bacterium. RNAcentral describes it as "partial 16S ribosomal RNA". It matches the Rfam family "Bacterial small subunit ribosomal RNA", at positions 28 to 507 of the family's 1533-position model. The record is from RNAcentral.